This 65-nucleotide transfer RNA is filed under the name Zichya baranovi. RNAcentral's name for it is "tRNA-His". It matches the Rfam family "tRNA". From Rfam's summary of the family: Transfer RNA (tRNA) molecules are approximately 80 nucleotides in length. Their secondary structure includes four short double-helical elements and three loops (D, anti-codon, and T loops). Lineage: Eukaryota; Metazoa; Arthropoda; Insecta; Orthoptera; Tettigoniidae. The record is from RNAcentral.
AUUUAAGUAGUUUAUAUUAAAAUGUUGGAUUGUGAUUCCAGAGAUGUAGAUUAUUACCUUAAAUC